RNAcentral lists this ribosomal RNA (433 nucleotides) under uncultured bacterium. Its description in RNAcentral is "bacterial SSU rRNA". It matches the Rfam family "Bacterial small subunit ribosomal RNA", at positions 29 to 458 of the family's 1533-position model. The record is from RNAcentral.
AUUGAACGCUGGCGGCAUGCCUUACACAUGCAAGUCGAACGGCAGCGGACCUUCGGGUGCCGGCGAGUGGCGAACGGGUGAGUAACACGUGGGUAAUCAACCCUUCAGCCUGGGAUAACGACUCGAAAGGGUCGCUAAUACCGGAUACGGCGCGAGAGGCUUCGGCUUCUCACGAGAAAGCCACGCAAGGGGCACUGAAGGACGAGCCUGCGGCCCAUCAGCUAGUUGGUGAGGUAAGAGCUCACCAAGGCUAAGACGGGUAGCUGGUCUGAGAGGAUGAUCAGCCACACUGGAACUGAGACACGGUCCAGACUCCUACGGGAGGCAGCAGUGGGGAAUAUUGCGCAAUGGGCGAAAGCCUGACGCAGCCACGCCGCGUGAGCGAUGAAGGCCUCGGUCGGUAAGACGUCUGUGGGAGGAGGACGAAGAAAGA